CAGCCGCCGCGGUAAUACGAAGGGUGCAAGCGUUGUCCGGAAUUAUUGGGCGUAAAGGGCUCGCAGGCGGUUUCUUAAGUCUGAUGUGAAAGCCCCCGGCUAACCGGGGAGGGUCAUUGGAAACUGGGAAACUUGAGUGCAGAAGAGGAGAGUGGAAUUCCACGUGUAGCGGUGAAAUGCGUAGAGAUGUGGAGGAACACCAGUGGCGAAGGCGACUCUCUGGUCUGUAACUGACGCUGAGGAGCGAAAGCGUGGGGAGCGAACAGGAUUAGAUACCCGAGUAGUCCCUGUCUCUUAUACC
This 301-nucleotide ribosomal RNA is filed under the name uncultured bacterium. RNAcentral describes it as "partial 16S ribosomal RNA". It matches the Rfam family "Bacterial small subunit ribosomal RNA", at positions 509 to 808 of the family's 1533-position model. The record is from RNAcentral.